GAUGAACGCUGGCGGCGUGCCUAAUACAUGCAAGUCGAGCGAACAGACGAGGAGCUUGCUCCUCUGACGUUAGCGGCGGACGGGUGAGUAACACGUGGAUAACCUACCUAUAAGACUGGGAUAACUUCGGGAAACCGGAGCUAAUACCGGAUAAUAUAUUGAACCGCAUGGUUCAAUAGUGAAAGACGGUUUUGCUGUCACUUAUAGAUGGAUCCGCGCCGCAUUAGCUAGUUGGUAAGGUAACGGCUUACCAAGGCAACGAUGCGUAGCCGACCUGAGAGGGUGAUCGGCCACACUGGAACUGAGACACGGUCCAGACUCCUACGGGAGGCAGCAGUAGGGAAUCUUCCGCAAUGGGCGAAAGCCUGACGGAGCAACGCCGCGUGAGUGAUGAGGGUCUUCGGAUCGUAAAACUCUGUUAUUAGGGAAGAAUAAAUGUGUAAGUAACUAUGCACGUCUUGACGGUACCUAAUCAGAAAGCCACGGCUAACUACGUG
This 497-nucleotide ribosomal RNA is filed under the name uncultured bacterium. RNAcentral describes it as "partial 16S ribosomal RNA". It matches the Rfam family "Bacterial small subunit ribosomal RNA", at positions 28 to 507 of the family's 1533-position model. The record is from RNAcentral.